CCACGGGAGGCAGCAGUAGGGAAUCUUCGGCAAUGGACGAAAGUCUGACCGAGCAACGCCGCGUGAGUGAAGAAGGUUUUCGGAUCGUAAAACUCUGUUGUUAGAGAAGAACAAGGAUGAGAGUAACUGUUCAUCCCUUGACGGUAUCUAACCAGAAAGCCACGGCUAACUACGUGCCAGCAGCCGCGGUAAUACGUAGGUGGCAAGCGUUGUCCGGAUUUAUUGGGCGUAAAGCGAGCGCAGGCGGUUUCUUAAGUCUGAUGUGAAAGCCCCCGGCUCAACCGGGGAGGGUCAUUGGAAACUGGGAGACUUGAGUGCAGAAGAGGAGAGUGGAAUUCCAUGUGUAGCGGUGAAAUGCGUAGAUAUAUGGAGGAACACCAGUGGCGAAGGCGGCUCUCUGGUCUGUAACUGACGCUGAGGCUCGAAAGCGUGGGGAGCAAACAGGAUUAGAUACCCCGGUAGUC
Molecule: ribosomal RNA, 464 nt
Filed under: Acinetobacter baumannii
Lineage: Bacteria; Pseudomonadati; Pseudomonadota; Gammaproteobacteria; Moraxellales; Moraxellaceae
Description: bacterial SSU rRNA
Rfam family: Bacterial small subunit ribosomal RNA
Source: RNAcentral